Molecule: ribosomal RNA, 468 nt
Filed under: uncultured bacterium
Lineage: Bacteria
Description: partial 16S ribosomal RNA
Rfam family: Bacterial small subunit ribosomal RNA
Source: RNAcentral
GACGAACGCUGGCGGCGUGCUUAACACAUGCAAGUCGAACGGAAAGGCCCUGCUUUUGUGGGGUGCUCGAGUGGCGAACGGGUGAGUAGCACGUGAGUAACCUGCCCUUGACUUUGGGAUAACUUCAGGAAACUGGGGCUAAUACCGGAUAGGAGCUCCUGCUGCAUGGUGGGGGUUGGAAAGUUUCGGCGGUUGGGGGUGGACUCGCGGCUUAUCAGCUUGUUGGUGGGGUAGUGGCUUACCAAGGCUUUGACGGGUAGCCGGCCUGAGAGGGUGACCGGCCACAUUGGGACUGAGAUACGGCCCAGACUCCUACGGGAGGCAGCAGUGGGGAAUAUUGCACAAUGGGCGGAAGCCUGAUGCAGCAACGCCGCGUGCGGGAUGACGGCCUUCGGGUUGUAAACCGCUUUCGCCUGUGACGAAGCGUGAGUGACGGUAAUGGGUAAAGAAGCACCGGCUAACUACGUG